Onychostoma macrolepis is the source of this 3730-nucleotide RNA transcript. RefSeq lists it as uncharacterized. Lineage: Eukaryota; Metazoa; Chordata; Actinopteri; Cypriniformes; Cyprinidae. The transcript has 8 exons. The record is from RefSeq and is a predicted model, not a curated record.
UUUAUAUUUUCUUAGCGAUUGCUUCGUUAUAUCUAUGUUGUGUGAGUUAAUGGAAUAACUUCUAAUUUCGAAGUAACAUUAUUUUGGCAGUUUAACUCUUAAGAUAGAUCUAUUAUGGUUAUCGAAUGCGAAAUGAACAAGUAUCGAUUGAACGGCCCGCCAAUAUUUGCUCAUGUUGCUCGAUCUUGCCAACCUUCAGUCAGUUCUGCACGGUGAAAGUAUUUAACUCUUAUUUUGGCACAACAAUGAAAAAUGUAUAUAUAAUAGCCUAUAGUGUAAUUUUUCAUUCAUGUUUAUACUUUGGGCAUACAGUAAUACUGCAGUAACUGCACUAGUUUUAUUACUUUGUGACAGCAUUUUUCGUUAACUAGCAAUAAUGCACAAAUUACUAAAUGCUUUUUCUUACAAGCUUUUAUGAGAUGAUUACAAAGUAACAAUAGCCUAAUAGAUAUUAUUGAGCAAGUUGGUUCAGGUAUUAUUACUCUAUGUAUUUCACAUUUUUAGUAUAGUAAUUUUAAAAUUACUAUAUUUUUUUUUCUUUUUUCAUUUAAUGUUUUGAGUCAGGAUGUCUUUCACCUUAAUAACACAUGUCAAUGUGAUUUGCUACAGAAAACUGCUGGUGGGAAUAAAAUAGCCUACGGUUUAGAGUUCACUGUCCCCAUUAAGCGCACCUGGUUACUGUACUUCAUGUAAUUGUAGGUGUAAUUACUGUGUCAUGGAGAGAGAAAAGUGGAAUAUCACUCGCAGCAAUUUAAGGAAAAGGGCUGUUAAAAGAGUCACCCAGUUUAUGAAAUCUUUGAAUGAUGAGGAUAUGGAUUGUACUAAUGAAGAGCAUAGUGUUGAAAAUGAAGUGGUUACUUCAAGCUUUGUUUUGCCACCAAUCUGUAGAUCAGAAAGUGAUGGGGAAAGUGAAUCAGCAAGUGACGAGGAUAGCCUUGAUAUUACUAAAGGUUUAGCGGGAUGUUUGAGAGACUGGGCAACACAUUUUCGCAUUUCAUUGAUUGCUUUGUCUGCCCUUUUGUCGAUACUGAAAGUCCAUCACCCAUCUUUGCCAAAAGAUGCAAGAACAUUACUCAAAACACAGACUCAACAUAGUGUUGUUUCCUUGGCGAGUGGAUCAUUCCAUUACUUUGGUAUACAGAAAAUGUUCAGCCACAUAUUUCAGAAGCUUACAUCAGUUGUCCGGAAUCAUCACAGCUUCAAAUUGCAAUUAAACAUGGAUGGUCUUCCAAUUUUUAAAAGUUCAGGUGUACAGUUCUGGCCAAUUUUAGGAAUGCUCCAGGCUUACAGUAGAAAACCUGUGCUGAUUGCUCUUUACUGUGGGAAAUCGAAGCCUCAGUCCUUGUCAGAAUAUCUGAAGGAUCUGGUCUGUGAGUUGAAAUCCUUGAGCACUGGUUUUGUUGUUAAUGGAAAGACCUUCUUCUUGACUGUGUGCUCGGUAAUCUGUGAUGCUCCUGCGAGGGCUUUUAUUAAGGGUAUUAAGUCACACAAUGGAUACAGUGGCUGUGAUAAAUGUGUACAGUCUGGCAUUUACAUUAAUAAUCGCAUGACAUUCCCAGAACUUAAUUCUAGGGUAAGAACCGAUGUUUCUUUUUCAAAUGCAGAGGAUGAAGACCACCAUGUACAACAUUCCCCAUUUUGUGAAACAUCUGUUCCCAUGGUUAGUGGAUUUCCACAUGACUAUAUGCAUUUAGUGUGCUUAGGCGUGGUGCGUCGUCUGCUUGAUUUGUGGAUGGGAACUCGCGGCAAGUUGAGUUACCGUAUUUCAUCCAGGCAAGUGUCUAUCAUUUCUGGCAAACUGCUUGCUCUCAAGAGUUACAUACCCUCUGAAUUUGCUAGAAGACCAAGGGCACUUGAUGAAAGGUUACGAUGGAAAGCAACAGAACUUAGGCAGUUCUUACUUUACACUGGUCCAGUAGUUUUGAGGGAUGUGCUGACUACUGAGGUUUACCAAAAUGUUAUGUUGUUGUCUGUGGGCAUAUAUAUCUUGGCAAGUCCAACAUAUUGUUUGCUGUUAAAUGACUUUGCAAACACACUACUUAGAUCAUUUGUUAAGCAUUUUGGGGAACUCUAUGGUCAUUGUUUUUUAGUGUACAACAUACAUGGUCUGACUCAUCUCAGUGAUGAUGUGAAGGUGCAUGGCCACUUAGAUUUAAUUUCAGGGUUUCCUUUUGAAAACUACUUAAAAAAAAUUAAAGGAAUGGUUAGAAAACCUAGCUCACCACUGCAGCAAGUUAUACGCAGAAUUUCAGAACUUGAUUCAACAAGUUUAAAUGAUGAGGAAACCCGGAAAGCUCACAAAAAAAUGAAAAUGCUGCACUCAGAUGGACCUGUUCCAGAAGGAUUCACAGGAGCGGUCUCCCAAUUUAAGGAACUGUCGAUAGAUGAGGUUGUCAUCAACACAUCAGAGAGGGACAGAUGUAUAAAGAUGAACAAUAAGAUACUAUUGGUUCAGAAUAUAAUUGUCUUUGAAGGUGAGGAAUAUAUUGUCUGCAAAGAAUAUAGACACAUUGCAAAGUUCUUUGAUUAUCCCAUUGAGUCCACAGAUUUGGGAAUUUGUUUUGUGUCAGAUCUGUCACCAAAGCUGAUGUGCUUAACAUUAGAUACCAAUAUGCAGAAGUGCGUCCGGUUGCCUUUGGAGGUUGGAUUUGUUGUCAUUCCACUUCUUCAUGCAGACCCAUCCUAAAUGUCAUUCAUAGCGUGGUGUUUUGGUAGUCUUUAAAUCUGAAUUUUAGAUAGUCCAAUCUUUUUCAAAUUGAAUUAAUUUAUGUGCAGAUUGGCAUUUAGACAGCAGUGACAGAGUCCAGCCUGCCUUGGGUUAUUUCAGUAGGUCAUGUUUUACAUUGUAGAGUUUCUAGAAACCCAAGAAGUUGAAGUGGUACCAGCACUUUGGGUUGAAAAGGAAAUAUGUCAAUGGCCAGCUCAAUACAGACGUGAUGAAUUAGUAAAGGCCAUACGAAGUGAGGAGCAACCUGGACACACGUGGGACGCAUAUUGUGUUCGAAUUUUAUAUAAAGCUGCAACCUACAAAGCUGCUCGUCUAAAACUUCCUCAAGCGGAAACACAAACUGACCUUCAAACAGCAGAGGAAGAAGAUGUGGAUGACAUUCCAAAGAAAAAGCGAAAAAGGCUCUCUUCUGCAUAGAAUUCUUACAAAUCAGGAAAUGAUGAUGGAUCAACUCAAAGUCAUUCUGAUGAACAUGCAGAAAAUGGGCGAACCUGCUCAUGGGCAGGAUCCCAUCGACAGAGACUUACUGCCACUGAAAGAUCUUACCUCCCUGCUGGCUCUGGAAAAACGUCUGAGGGAAGAGGCUGACCUCAAAAAAAAAAUGAUUACUGCAUUGAGCUUCAUUGGAGGAGUUGAUGUUAAGGAUAGCGUUUGGCGGGUUAUGGGGCACUGUAUUACCAACUCCCAUGGCAAACAACUUAACUGGCGUGGCAUCAAUGGCAAAACAGCUUUCCACAAACUGCAGCUGAAAGAUGUCAUUACUGGAACUGUCAGAAACAAUAGACUUACAGCUGCGGCCACCGAUCAAGAAAUUGAAACAUUUAUUAAAAAAUGGCUUCAUCUGUCAAGUGACCGAGACGGAGGGAGAAGAGAAAGGGAGAAACGGAGGAGGUCCCAAGACACCUGCUUGCAAGAUUGCCAUGAUGACACAGAUGGGCCCAGUCAAGGAGGUCAAAUUCUUUAAUUUUGGAUGGCUCCAUUUGCCAAUGUUUUCUAGUGUGU